GAUGAAGAACGUAGCGAAAUGCGAUAAGUAAUGUGAAUUGCAGAAUUCAGUGAAUCAUCGAAUCUUUGAACGCACAUUGCGCCCGCCAGUAUUCUGGCGGGCAUGCCUGUUCGAGCGUCAUUACAACCCUCAGGCCCCCGGGCCUGGCGUUGGGGAUCGGCGGAGCCCCCCGUGAGCACACGCCGUCCCCCAAAUGCAGUGGCGGUCCCGCCGCAGCUUCCAUCGCGUAGUAGCUAACACCUCGCGACUGGAGAGCGGCGCGGCCACGCCGUAAAACACCCAACUCUUCUGAAGUUGACCUCGAAUCAGGUAGGAAUACCCGCUGAACUUAAGCAUAUCAAUAAGCGGAGGA
This 352-nucleotide unclassified non-coding RNA is filed under the name soil metagenome. Its description in RNAcentral is "partial contains 5.8S ribosomal RNA, internal transcribed spacer 2, and large subunit ribosomal RNA". The stretch from base 1 to 120 matches the Rfam family "5.8S ribosomal RNA", at positions 35 to 154 of the family's 154-position model. The record is from RNAcentral.